RNAcentral lists this unclassified non-coding RNA (324 nucleotides) under rhizosphere metagenome. Its description in RNAcentral is "partial ribosomal RNA internal transcribed spacer region". The record is from RNAcentral.
GUAGGUGAACCUGCGGAAGGAUCAUUAUCGAAUAAACUUUGAGCAGGCUGUUUGCUGGCCCUUGUCAUGGGGGUAUGUGCACGCUUGUCCUUUGUUAUUUCUCCAACCUGUGCACACUUUGUAGACCCUGGAGAUUUUAUGAAUUUUCAUUCGAGUUGGGAUUGCUGUGCUUGACACUCAGGAAAGUCAGCUUUGCCUUGCCAUCUUCAGGUCUAUGUCAUUUUAUCACAACCUCUUUAAACAUGUUCAGAAUGUUGGAUCAGGUCCUUUUUGUACCUAUAGAAAUGAAAUAUACAACUUUCAGCAACGGAUCUCUUGGCUCUC